GAUGAACGCUGGCGGCGUGCCUAAUACAUGCAAGUCGAGCGAACAGACGAGGAGCUUGCUCCACUGACGUUAGCGGCGGACGGGUGAGUAACACGUGGAUAACCUACCUAUAAGACUGGGAUAACUUCGGGAAACCGGUGCUAAUACCGGAUAAUAUAUUGAACCGCAUGGUUCAAUAGUGAAAGACGGUUUUGCUUUCACUUAUAGAUGGAUCCGCGCCGCAUUAGCUAGUUGGUAAGGUAACGGCUUACCAAGGCAACGAUGCGUAGCCGACCUGAGAGGGGAGUCGGCCCCACUGGAACUGAGACGAGGUCCAGACUCCUACGGUAGGGAGCAGUAGGGAAUCGUACGCAAUGGGCGAAAGCCUGACGGGGCAACGCCGCGUGAGUGAUGAAGGUCUUCGGAUCGUAAAACUCUGUUAUUAGGGAAGAACAAAAGUGUAAGUAACUAUGCACGUCUUGACGGUACCUAAUCAGAAAGCCACGGCUAACUACGUG
This 497-nucleotide ribosomal RNA is filed under the name uncultured bacterium. RNAcentral describes it as "partial 16S ribosomal RNA". It matches the Rfam family "Bacterial small subunit ribosomal RNA", at positions 28 to 507 of the family's 1533-position model. The record is from RNAcentral.